This is a long non-coding RNA of Schistocerca gregaria, 1064 nucleotides long. RefSeq lists it as uncharacterized. The record is from RefSeq and is a predicted model, not a curated record. Lineage: Eukaryota; Metazoa; Arthropoda; Insecta; Orthoptera; Acrididae. The transcript has 2 exons.
UUCAUACCCCAUUUAUAGAGGUAUCAAUCCUCUCCUUUUUAAUGACCAACAACUCUACAAAACUUCUCUUCCUAUCAACAUUAAUGAUAGGAACGAUCCUGUCCAUUUCAUCAAAUUCCUGAUUUGGGGUUUGAAUAGGACUUGAGAUCAACUUACUUUCAUUUAUUCCGCUCCUAACAAGAAAUAAAAAUAUAAUAAUAAAUGAAUCAUCAAUUAAAUAUUUUAUUGUCCAAGCAAUAGCAUCGACAAUAUUAUUAUUUUCAAUUUUGCUGAUUCAAAUAAAAUAUCCCAUGGGAUGGGAAACAGAAUUUAUCCCAUCAAUAAUAAUUAGAUCUAGACUAUUAUUAAAGAUUGGAGCUGCACCUUUCCAUUUCUGAUUUCCAGAAGUUAUAGGAGCAUCAAGAUGAAAUAAUUGUUUAACAUUAAUAACAUGACAAAAAAUCGCCCCAAUAAUGGUCUUAUCUUAUUGUAUUCAAUUAAGAACUUUUAUUUGAACAAUUAUCAUCUUAAGAAUUAUUAUUGGGGCAAUAGGAGGUUUAAAUCAAACAUCCUUACGACAACUUUUAGCAUAUUCAUCAAUCAGACAUCUAGGUUGAAUAAUUAGAUCAUUAACAGUCAGAGAAAACAUCUGAGAACUAUACUUCAUUAUUUACUCACUAUUAAGAUUAAUUAUAGUUUUAUUAUUUAAGCAAAUAAAUUUAUUUUUCAUAAAUCAAAUUUAUUCAGCCAGAAAUAUAAAAACCGAAAUUAAAUUCAUAAUAUUCUUAUCUUUAUUAUCUUUAGGUGGACUACCACCAUUCCUUGGAUUCUUACCAAAAUGAAUUGUAAUACAAUCAUUAAUAGAAAACAAUAUAACAACUAUUAUAACUAUUAUAGUUGUAUUAACUACAAUUACACUCUACUACUAUAUACGUAUUAGAUUCUCAGCUCUAAUUAUAUCAUACACAGAAAAUUCGUGAUCUAUAAAGAUAAAGUCCCAAAAAUCAAGAAUCAUUCUUCCUAUAACAGUAAUAAUUUCAACAAUAGGAUUGAUUUCAACAUCAACCUUAAUUUCAUUAUACUAA